RNAcentral lists this ribosomal RNA (468 nucleotides) under uncultured bacterium. Its description in RNAcentral is "partial 16S ribosomal RNA". It matches the Rfam family "Bacterial small subunit ribosomal RNA", at positions 28 to 507 of the family's 1533-position model. The record is from RNAcentral.
GACGAACGCUGGCGGCGUGCUUAACACAUGCAAGUCGAACGGUGAUGCGCCAGCUUGCUGGAGUGGAUCAGUGGCGAACGGGUGAGUAACACGUGAGCAACCUGCCCCAGACUCUGGAAUAAGCGCUGGAAACGGCGUCUAAUACUGGAUAUGAAACUGGCCCGCAUGGGCAUGGUUUGGAAAGUUUUUCGGUUUGGGAUGGGCUCGCGGCCUAUCAGCUUGUUGGUGAGGUAAUGGCUCACCAAGGCGACGACGGGUAGCCGGCCUGAGAGGGCGACCGGCCACACUGGGACUGAGACACGGCCCAGACUCCUACGGGAGGCAGCAGUGGGGAAUAUUGCACAAUGGGCGAAAGCCUGAUGCAGCGACGCCGCGUGAGGGAUGACGGCCUUCGGGUUGUAAACCUCUUUCAGCAGGGAAGAAGCGAAAGUGACGGUACCUGCAGAAGAAGCACCGGCUAACUACGUG